RNAcentral lists this ribosomal RNA (450 nucleotides) under uncultured bacterium. RNAcentral describes it as "partial 16S ribosomal RNA". It matches the Rfam family "Bacterial small subunit ribosomal RNA", at positions 29 to 523 of the family's 1533-position model. The record is from RNAcentral.
AACGAACGCUGGCGGCAGGCUUAACACAUGCAAGUCGAACGAGAUCUUCGGAUCUAGUGGCAGACGGGUGAGGAACACGUGGGAACAUCCCUUUCAGUUCGGAAUAACGUUGGGAAACUAACGCUAAUACCGGAUACGUCCUUCGGGAGAAAGAUUUAUCGCUGAAAGAUUGGCCCGCGUCUGAUUAGCUAGUUGGUGAGGUAAUGGCUCACCAAGGCUACGAUCAGUAGCUGAUCUGCGUGGAUGAUCAGCCAAAUUGGGACUGAGUCACGGCCCAAACUCCUACGGGAGGCAGCAGUGGGGAAUAUUGGACAAUGGGCGCAAGCCUGAUCCAGCCAUGCCGCGUGAGUGAUGAAGGCCUUCGGGUUGUAAAGCUCUUUUAUCCGGGAAGAUAAUGACUGUACCGGAAGAAUAAGCCCCGGCAAACUUCGUGCCAGCCGCCGCCAGUAA